This 502-nucleotide ribosomal RNA is filed under the name uncultured bacterium. RNAcentral describes it as "bacterial SSU rRNA". It matches the Rfam family "Bacterial small subunit ribosomal RNA", at positions 29 to 528 of the family's 1533-position model. The record is from RNAcentral.
AAUAAACGCUGGCGGCGUGCCUAACACAUGCAAGUCGAGCGAGAAAGCUCCUUCGGGAGUAAGUAAAGCGGCGAACGGGUGAGCAAUACGUGAGAAUCUACCCUUUAGUGAAGAAUACCUUCAAGAAAUUGAAGUUAAUACUGCAUAAGUCCCUUCGGGGAGAAAGAUGGCCUCUUUGCUAUCGCUAAAGGAUGAGCUUGCGCACUAUUAGCUAGUUGGUGAGGUAAUGGCUCACCAAGGCGAUGAUGGUUAACCGGCCUGAGAGGGUGUACGGUCACACUGGAACUUAGACACGGUCCAGACUCCUACGGGAGGCAGCAGUGAGGAAUCUUGCGCAAUGGGCGAAAGCCUGACGCAGCGACGCCGCGUGGAGGAUGAAGGUCUUCGGAUUGUAAACUCCUGUUAAGCGGGAAGAAAAGCCUGUUUCUAAUACAAGCAGGAUAUGACGGUACCGCUAGAGAAAGCACCGGCUAACUUCGUGCCAGCAGCCGCCGCAGUAAGA